This 492-nucleotide ribosomal RNA is filed under the name uncultured bacterium. Its description in RNAcentral is "partial 16S ribosomal RNA". It matches the Rfam family "Bacterial small subunit ribosomal RNA", at positions 29 to 507 of the family's 1533-position model. The record is from RNAcentral.
AGUGAACGCUGGCGGUAGGCCUAACACAUGCAAGUCGAACGGCAGCACAGUAAGAGCUUGCUCUUACGGGUGGCGAGUGGCGGACGGGUGAGGAAUACAUCGGAAUCUACUUUUUCGUGGGGGAUAACGUAGGGAAACUUAUGCUAAUACCGCAUACGACCUACGGGUGAAAGCAGGGGAUCUUCGGACCUUGCGCGAUUGAAUGAGCCGAUGUCGGAUUAGCUAGUUGGCGGGGUAAAGGCCCACCAAGGCGACGAUCCGUAGCUGGUCUGAGAGGAUGAUCAGCCACACUGGAACUGAGACACGGUCCAGACUCCUACGGGAGGCAGCAGUGGGGAAUAUUGGACAAUGGGCGCAAGCCUGAUCCAGCUAUACCGCGUGGGUGAAGAAGGCCUUCGGGUUGUAAAGCCCUUUUGUUGGGAAAGAAAAGCAGCAGGUUAAUACCCCGCUGUUCUGACGGUACCCAAAGAAUAAGCACCGGCUAACUUCGUG